Molecule: small nuclear RNA, 164 nt
Gene: U1
Rfam family: U1 spliceosomal RNA
About the family: U1 is a small nuclear RNA (snRNA) component of the spliceosome (involved in pre-mRNA splicing).
Source: Ensembl
AUACUUACCUGGCAGGGGAGAUACCAAUAUCACGAAAGGGGUUUUCCCAGGGCGAGGCUUAUACAUUGUACUCUGGAUGUGCUGACCCCAGCGAUUUCCCCAAAUGUGGGAAACUGGACUACAUAAUUUGUGGUAGUGGGUGACUGCGUUUGCACUUUCCCCUA